RNAcentral lists this transfer RNA (73 nucleotides) under Phototrophicus methaneseepsis. It matches the Rfam family "tRNA". From Rfam's summary of the family: Transfer RNA (tRNA) molecules are approximately 80 nucleotides in length. Their secondary structure includes four short double-helical elements and three loops (D, anti-codon, and T loops). Further hydrogen bonds mediate the characteristic L-shaped molecular structure. tRNAs have two regions of fundamental functional importance: the anti-codon, which is responsible for specific mRNA codon recognition, and the 3' end, to which the tRNAs corresponding amino acid is attached (by aminoacyl-tRNA synthetases). tRNAs cope with the degeneracy of the genetic code in two manners: having more than one tRNA (with a specific anti-codon) for a particular amino acid; and 'wobble' base-pairing, i.e. permitting non-standard base-pairing at the 3rd anti-codon position. Lineage: Bacteria; Bacillati; Chloroflexota; Candidatus Thermofontia; Phototrophicales; Phototrophicaceae. The record is from Rfam by way of RNAcentral.
GCCUCCGUAGCUCAGUGGACAGAGCGGUUGCCUUCUAAGCAAAUGGUCGUAGGUUCGAGUCCUACCGGGGGCG